CGCGGCCUAUCAGCUUGUUGGUGAGGUAACGGCUCACCAAGGCUAUGACGGGUAGCUGGCGUGAGAGCGUGGUCAGCCACACUGGGACUGAGACACGGCCCAGACUCCUACGGGAGGCAGCAGUGGGGAGUAUUGCGCAAUGGGCGAAAGCCUGACGCAGCGACGCCGCGUGGGGGAGGAAGGCCCUAGGGUUGUAAACCCCUGUCAGGCGGGACGAACCGUGGAUCGGCGAACAGCCGGUUCACCUGACGGUACCGCCAGAGGAAGCUCCGGCUAACUCCGUGCCAGCAGCCGCGGUAAUACGGAGGGAGCGAGCGUUGUCCGGAAUUACUGGGCGUAAAGGGCGCGUAGGCGGCCGCGUAAGUCGCGUGUGAAAGGCCGGGGCUCAACCCCGUGCAUGGCACGCGAUACUGCGCGGCUGGAGAAAGGUAGGGGCGAGCGGAAUUCCCGGUGUAGCGGUGGAAUGCGUAGAUAUCGGGAGGAACACCGGUGGCGAAGGCGGCUCGCUGGGCCUUUUCUGACGCUGAAGCGCGAAAGCGUGGGGAGCAAGCAGGAUUAGAUACCCUGGUAGUCCACGCCGUAAACGAUGGGCACUAGGUGUUGGGAGGCUUGGCCCUCUCAGUGUCGAAGCUAACGCAUUAAGUGCCCCGCCUGGGGAGUACGG
RNAcentral lists this ribosomal RNA (664 nucleotides) under uncultured Actinomycetes bacterium. RNAcentral describes it as "bacterial SSU rRNA". It matches the Rfam family "Bacterial small subunit ribosomal RNA", at positions 232 to 885 of the family's 1533-position model. Lineage: Bacteria; Bacillati; Actinomycetota; Actinomycetes. The record is from RNAcentral.